CGUUUGUAAACAACCAUUGAUUCCUCAUCGGAACCACGAAUUUAGCUCCCUGCUUUUGUUGUUCCCUGUUACUGAAACUUUAUUUUGCGGCAGCCUGCUUAAGGUAGAUGAAGCUGGCUGUUUGCCAGCAAGGGCUGUUGAUCCUGGGCAGCUUUAUAACAAACAAGAAAUACCUAGACAGACAUUAGAAUCAACAUGAGUUACAACCGGGGCCGAGGAUUUGGGUUUGGUGGUUUUUCAAUAGCUAAGAAGCAGGAUAUUACGCCUCCACCUCCCAAUGCCACACUCAGCAAACAUGGUUAUCACACCAUGACUGCCAUCAGCCAGAAUGCAAUAUCAGGAGGUUGUGGAUACGGUCAACCACGUAAGCGACCGAGAGAUGAGGAUGAGUAUUUUGAUGAUGAAGAUGAAAGUUUAGAUGGUGCUU
This is a long non-coding RNA of Macrobrachium nipponense, 427 nucleotides long. RefSeq lists it as uncharacterized. The transcript is spliced from 4 exons. The record is from RefSeq and is a predicted model, not a curated record. Lineage: Eukaryota; Metazoa; Arthropoda; Malacostraca; Decapoda; Palaemonidae.